RNAcentral lists this ribosomal RNA (694 nucleotides) under uncultured Bacilli bacterium. Its description in RNAcentral is "bacterial SSU rRNA". It matches the Rfam family "Bacterial small subunit ribosomal RNA", at positions 72 to 752 of the family's 1533-position model. The record is from RNAcentral. Lineage: Bacteria; Bacillati; Bacillota; Bacilli.
AGAGGAGCUUGCUCUUCUUGGAUGAGUUGCGAACGGGUGAGUAACGCGUAGGUAACCUGCCUGGUAGCGGGGGAUAACUAUUGGAAACGAUAGCUAAUACCGCAUAAAAUGGAUUAUUGCAUGAUAGUCAAUUGAAAGGUGCAACUGCACCACUACCAGAUGGACCUGCGUUGUAUUAGCUAGUUGGUGGGGUAACGGCUCACCAAGGCGACGAUACAUAGCCGACCUGAGAGGGUGAUCGGCCACACUGGGACUGAGACACGGCCCAGACUCCUACGGGAGGCAGCAGUAGGGAAUCUUCGGCAAUGGACGGAAGUCUGACCGAGCAACGCCGCGUGAGUGAAGAAGGUUUUCGGAUCGUAAAGCUCUGUUGUAAGAGAAGAACGAGUGUGAGAGUGGAAAGUUCACACUGUGACGGUAUCUUACCAGAAAGGGACGGCUAACUACGUGCCAGCAGCCGCGGUAAUACGUAGGUCCCGAGCGUUGUCCGGAUUUAUUGGGCGUAAAGCGAGCGCAGGCGGUUAGAUAAGUCUGAAGUUAAAGGCUGUGGCUUAACCAUAGUACGCUUUGGAAACUGUUUAACUUGAGUGCAAGAGGGGAGAGUGGAAUUCCAUGUGUAGCGGUGAAAUGCGUAGAUAUAUGGAGGAACACCGGUGGCGAAAGCGGCUCUCUGGCUUGUAACUGACGCUGAGGC